CAUCGCCUCUUGCCAAACAACACGUAUAAGAGGUCCAGCCUGCCCAGUGACUAUAUGUUCAACGGCCGCGGUAUUCUGACCGUGCAAAGGUAGCGUAAUCACUUGUCUUUUAAAUAAAGACUGGUAUGAAUGGCACCACGAAGGUUCAACUGUCUCCUGCAUCCAAUCCAUUAAACUGACCUCCCCGUGCAGAGGCGGGGAUAUGUCCAUAAGACGAGAAGACCCUAUGGAGCUUUAAACUCACGGCAACUGCUAAACAACCUAACCCCCACACGGGAAAACAAACAAUUAAGCAACAAUGACCCAAAGUUUUCGGUUGGGGCGACCACGGAGAAAAAAAAAUCCUCCUUGAUGUACGAGGCCUUACCCUCUUAACCAAGAACGACAGUUCUAAGUAACAAAACAUUUGACCACUAUUGAUCCAGUCCAACUGAUCAACGAACCAAGUUACCCUAGGGAUAACAGCGCAAUCCAUUUCGAAAGUUCCUAUCGACAAAUGGGUUUACGACCUCGAUGUUGGAUCAGGGCAUCCCAGUGGUGCAGCCGCUACUAAAGGUUCGUUUGUUCAACGAUUAAAGCCCU
RNAcentral lists this ribosomal RNA (582 nucleotides) under Pipidae sp. A1. Its description in RNAcentral is "partial 16S ribosomal RNA". It matches the Rfam family "Bacterial large subunit ribosomal RNA", at positions 1814 to 2597 of the family's 2925-position model. Lineage: Eukaryota; Metazoa; Chordata; Amphibia; Anura; Pipidae. The record is from RNAcentral. RNAcentral also lists the same sequence under 3 other names.